Molecule: unclassified non-coding RNA, 329 nt
Filed under: uncultured fungus
Lineage: Eukaryota; Fungi
Description: partial contains 5.8S ribosomal RNA, internal transcribed spacer 2, and large subunit ribosomal RNA
Rfam family: 5.8S ribosomal RNA (bases 1-52)
Source: RNAcentral
AACGCACCUUGCACCCUUUGGUAUUCCGAAGGGUAUGCCUGUUUGAGUGUCAUUAAAUUCUCAACCUUAACUGCUUUGUUGUGGUUAAUGGCUUGGAUGUGAGGGUUUGCUGGCUUCCUUCAGUGGAUGGUCUGCUCCCUUUAAAUGCAUUAGUGGGAUCCUUUGUGGAUCGCCAUGCACUUUAGUGUGAUAGUUUAUCUACGCUAUUGUGUUGGUCUACAAAACUUGUGGGAACCUGCUUAUAACCGUCCUUCAGUUGGACAACUUGUGCUUUUGCACAAAACUUGACAUUUGACCUCAAAUCAGGUAGGACUACCCGCUGAACUUAA